UACCAGCCCCUGCUUCACCAACUACCAGCCCCUGCUUCACAAACUACCAGCCCCAGCUACAUCACUGCUCCUCCCCAGCCAACACCAUUCUUCGGUUCUCCCGAUGUGCAGCAUGCAGCAGUAAUGCGUCUCCCUAUGGUCCACCCCAUACUCCUGGCCUGAUGCUCCACAACAAAGUGUUCCUCCUUCUCACGUUUUCAGCACUCCUGGCCUAAAGCAUGCACAAGAAGGUUGUGAAGUGGCAUCACUGCUUCUUGACCACACAACACCAAGUGAAGGAUUGGUCGCUGGCUGUUCAGGACCCAUUGCGGCUGGCCAUUCAGGAAGACUCCUCACCUUCAAAAGCUGUGGAUUGCCAUAAUUCAA
Melanotaenia boesemani (Boeseman's rainbowfish) is the source of this 366-nucleotide long non-coding RNA. RefSeq lists it as uncharacterized. The transcript is spliced from 4 exons. NCBI's taxonomy places the organism in Eukaryota, Metazoa, Chordata, Actinopteri, Atheriniformes, Melanotaeniidae. The record is from RefSeq and is a predicted model, not a curated record.